This is a long non-coding RNA of Andrographis paniculata, 1857 nucleotides long. RefSeq lists it as uncharacterized. NCBI's taxonomy places the organism in Eukaryota, Viridiplantae, Streptophyta, Magnoliopsida, Lamiales, Acanthaceae. The transcript has 4 exons. The record is from RefSeq and is a predicted model, not a curated record.
UAUGCUUAUUCUUUAUUCUUUGAUUCUCUUCUUCGAUCUCCUUCUUCUCUUUCCUUUUUCGUUUCCUUCUUCUUCUUUCCAUACGUCUUCCUUCACCUUCGGCGCUGUAAUCUGCUCUACACCCUUGAACCGCGUGCCGCCUCCACUUGCCUCGGCCAUCAACCGUACUCCGCAGUCCCUUCGUGACUUGUUGACAGCGAGCCUCGCUGCCCACAUCCUCAAACGCCAACCGUAGUUCUUCCUUUCAAUCGAUCCACUUGCCUACUCAUUCUUGGACUUCGACUGCAGGUGCUAAUGGUGCGUCAUCGCUUCGGAUCAACAUCGAAGUUCUUCCUUUCCUUCUCCGUGCGGCUUUGAAGAUAGCAGUUUUUGCUUGGUUGGACGUGACACGAAUCUUGUAGUUGAAACUAGCAAUGGAAAGCUUCAAGAUACAUCAAAUGUAAAGAAUGUGAGACCAUUUGGGGGAGGGCUAGGGAUGUGUUCACGCUGUGAACUUUGGCAAGCUUGAGACUGCUAUUUUUUCUUUACGAUUUUCUCCUUAAUUCUAGUUUUUUUUUUUUUUUAAAUUACUCAAGUCACAUGCAUGCAUUGCCAUUAAUUAAUUUAUUCAUUUCGAUUGAAACUUGUUAUAUUAUAUAUUUAUUUUUGGUCCUAUACAAUUCGAUUCAAUUUGGUGCAUGAAAAAAAAAUAAAAAAUCAGUUGCUAUAACUUGAAAUAUACUAAUUACAAAAAUAUUUUCUUAGCACUUGGAGAAACAUAUAAUGGUACUCCUGAUGUGUCCAAACUAUUAUAGGAGAACGAGCUAAAUGCUAUUUUAGAUGUCCAUUGUAUGCCCUAUUCAAUAUUUUGGUGAUUAAAUGAUUCAACCCGAUUAAUCAUCGGGGAUUGCGGACUCUAAUUAAGUAGGAACAAUCAAAAGAAAUAUGGAUUUGAUUAGUGCUUCGUUUGAAAUCACGGUUUGCAGCAAAAGAAAUUAUUAAUCCUAGUUGUUUUUGUUGGAUCUUCUCAGGUGGUUGCUAAAUUCGAUUAUGGCAGGCUAAUUAUAUAUCUUUAUUUGAGUUUGGUUCUACUUUUAACAAGAUUAUACACGAUCUUGCAAAGUUCUCUGUUUAGUAAGAAUAAUGAUGCCAAUAAAUAUGUACACUUCAACUUAACCUCAACAAAAAGCAGCACACCAUUUAGGGAUUAAAGUGAACUAAUUAUGAUAGGCCAGGGCUUCUCUCACAAUUCAGACAUCAGUUCUGGAUAGUGAGCAUUACUAUUCUAAAUACACCAAAUUAUGAUGUAUUACUUAUAAUACUAUUACAGACACUGUCUAUUGGCCUAUGUUAAGAAGCAUCACUAAUAAUACUAUGCGUAUAGAUAUAAUUUAAAACUUACACCAAAUUAUUGAGUAUUUUACUUGUUUUAGGUUGGCUAGAAAAGACCAUUUUUUCAGCUUCUAUAACAACAUUAAAGGACUUGAAUCUGUCUAUGAAGAGCUCUCAUGGCAACAUUCAGAUUCAAACAUUAACUUAGCAAUGAUGUUGGUCUCUGCAUAAAAAUGACUCAUUGAAUCUUAUUGCUCAAAGCGGAAACUGGGCCGACACAAACACAAAAGCCUUCGUCUGCCACUUGGCGUUGCAGCGUAGCACGUGAUUCUAUGAUGAUUAACUUUUGUCUGUGGAUUGAUGCUGACUGAAUCUUUUCCGUUGGUUGAACUUGCAUUUUCUGCUUCAUUUGUAUAUUUGUUGCUAUGUUUGGCUGUAUAUGUUAGGCCGUAUUGCGUAAUAGCUAUGUUUCUAGAUAGUGCGUAGUUGGUGCAACUGAUGGUGAUACAAAUUUGCUGAAAUAUUUUUAUAUUUUUUAAUGUCAUU